GCUCAGAACGAACGCUGGCGGCAGGCUUAACACAUGCAAGUCGAACGCCCCGCAAGGGGAGUGGCAGACGGGUGAGUAACGCGUGGGAAUCUACCGUGCCCUGCGGAAUAGCUCCGGGAAACUGGAAUUAAUACCGCAUACGCCCUACGGGGGAAAGAUUUAUCGGGGUAUGAUGAGCCCGCGUUGGAUUAGCUAGUUGGUGGGGUAAAGGCCUACCAAGGCGACGAUCCAUAGCUGGUCUGAGAGGAUGAUCAGCCACAUUGGGACUGAGACACGGCCCAAACUCCUACGGGAGGCAGCAGUGGGGAAUAUUGGACAAUGGGCGCAAGCCUGAUCCAGCCAUGCCGCGUGAGUGAUGAAGGCCUUAGGGUUGUAAAGCUCUUUCACCGGUGAAGAUAAUGACGGUAACCGGAGAAGAAGCCCCGGCUAACUUCGUGCCAG
RNAcentral lists this ribosomal RNA (441 nucleotides) under Rhizobium sp. RNAcentral's name for it is "bacterial SSU rRNA". It matches the Rfam family "Bacterial small subunit ribosomal RNA", at positions 22 to 511 of the family's 1533-position model. The record is from RNAcentral. Lineage: Bacteria; Pseudomonadati; Pseudomonadota; Alphaproteobacteria; Hyphomicrobiales; Rhizobiaceae.